This 461-nucleotide ribosomal RNA is filed under the name uncultured bacterium. Its description in RNAcentral is "bacterial SSU rRNA". It matches the Rfam family "Bacterial small subunit ribosomal RNA", at positions 46 to 507 of the family's 1533-position model. The record is from RNAcentral.
GCUUAAUACAUGCAAGUCAACUUGACUUUAGAUAGCAAUAUCGAAAGUAGGGUGGCGCACGGGUGCGUAACGCGUAGGUAAUCUGCCCUGAGGUCUGACAUAACCCGUCGAAAGGCGGGCUAACAUCAGAUGAUAUAUAAUCACGACAUCGUGGAAAUAUCAAAUCUUCGGAGCCUUGGGAUGAGCCUGCGUCUGAUUAGGUAGUUGGCGGAGUAAUCGCCCACCAAGCCUACGAUCAGUAGCUGGUCUGAGAGGAUGAUCAGCCACACUGGAACUGAGACACGGUCCAGACUCCUACGGGAGGCAGCAGUAAGGAAUAUUGCUCAAUGGGGGGAAACCCUGAAGCAGCAACGCCGCGUGAAGGAUGAAAUACUUUGUAUGUAAACUUCUGUAAGAUGGGAAAAAUAUUCUCCUCGGGAGAAUUGAUUGUACCAUCAGAGUAAGCCCCGGCUAACUACGUG